AAAGCUCUCUUCGGAGAGUGUAUAAAGUGGCGCACGGGUGAGUAACACGUAAGUAAUCUACCUUUGGGUGGGGAAUAACUCAAGGAAACUUGAGCUAAUACCGCAUAAUGCAGCGGCUCCUUCGGGAGACAGUUGUUAAAGCAUUUAUGCGCCUAAAGAGGAGCUUGCGGCAGAUUAGCUAGUUGGUAAGGUAAUGGCUUACCAAGGCGACGAUCUGUAGCCGGCCUGAGAGGGCGGUCGGUCACACUGACACUGAAUAACGGGUCAGACUCCUACGGGAGGCAGCAGUCGGGAAUUUUGGGCAAUGGGCGAAAGCCUGACCCAGCAACGCCGCGUGAAGGAUGAAGUCCCUCGGGAUGUAAACUUCGGAAACAUGGGAAGAAUAAAUGACGGUACCAUGUCUAAGCUCCGGCUAACUACGUGCCAGCAGCCGCGGUAAUACGUAGGGAGCAAGCGUCGUUCGGAUUUACUGGGCGUAAAGGGUGCGUAGGCGGCGCGUCAAGUCACUUGUGAAAUCUCCGGGCUUAACUCGGAACGGCCAAGUGAUACUGUCGUGCUAGAGUGCGGAAUGGGCAACUGGGAUUCUUGGUGUAGCGGUGAAAUGCGUAGAUAUCAAGAGGAACACCUGAGGCGAAGGCGAGUUGCUGGGCCGACACUGACGCUGAGGCACGAAAGCCAGGGGAGCGAACGGGAUUAGGUACCCCGGUAGUCCUGGCCCUAAACGAUGAAUGCUUGGUGUCUGGAGUUAUAAUUCUCCGGGUGCCGUCGUUAACGCUUUUAGCAUUCCGCCUGGGGAGUACG
This 801-nucleotide ribosomal RNA is filed under the name uncultured bacterium. Its description in RNAcentral is "bacterial SSU rRNA". It matches the Rfam family "Bacterial small subunit ribosomal RNA", at positions 69 to 884 of the family's 1533-position model. The record is from RNAcentral.